Molecule: ribosomal RNA, 381 nt
Filed under: uncultured eukaryote
Lineage: Eukaryota
Description: partial 18S ribosomal RNA
Rfam family: Eukaryotic small subunit ribosomal RNA
Source: RNAcentral
CAAUAGCGUAUAUUAAAGUUGUUGCGGUAAAAAAGCUCGUAGUUGGAUUUCUACCGAAGAUAGCCGGUCGGGUCUUCGACCUUGUAUCUGGUUUUGUCUUUGGUAUCCUCAUAGGGAACGUUUCUGCGCUUUAUUGCGUGGUGCGGUAUCUAUGACUUUCACUUUGAGGAAAUUAGAGUGUUCACGGCAGGCAAACGCCUUGAAUAUAUUAGCAUGGAAUAAUAACAUAGGAUCUUCGUCCUAUUUUGUUGGUUUCUAGGGCUAAGAUAAUGAUUAAUAGGGAUAAUUGGGGGCAUCUGUAUCAACGCGUCAGAGGUGGAAUUCUUGGAUUGCGUUGCGACAAACUACUGCGAAAGCAUUUGCCAAGGAUGUUUUCAUUGA